Molecule: ribosomal RNA, 301 nt
Filed under: uncultured bacterium
Lineage: Bacteria
Description: partial 16S ribosomal RNA
Rfam family: Bacterial small subunit ribosomal RNA
Source: RNAcentral
CAGUAGCCGCGGGAAUACGUAGGCGGCAAGCGUUGUCCGGAAUUAUUGGGCGUAAAGGGCUCGCAGGCGGUUUCUUAAGUCUGAUGUGAAAGCCCCCGGCUCAACCGGGGAGGGUCAUUGGAAACUGGGAAACUUGAGUGCAGAAGAGGAGAGUGGAAUUCCACGUGUAGCGGUGAAAUGCGUAGAGAUGUGGAGGAACACCAGUGGCGAAGGCGACUCUCUGGUCUGUAACUGACGCUGAGGAGCGAAAGCGUGGGGAGCGAACAGGAUUAGAUACCCCAGUAGUCCCUGUCUCUUAUAC